GCGGGUCGAUGCCGGGGGACUCUAGCGGAACUGCCAGCGUAAGCUGCGAGGAAGGUGGGGAUGACGUCAAAUCAGCACGGCCCUUACGUCCAGGGCUACACACGUGUUACAAUGGCCGGUACAGAGGGCAGCCACCCCGCGAGGGGGCGCGAAUCCCGAAAGCCGGUCCCAGUUCGGAUCGGAGUCUGCAACCCGACUCCGUGAAGCUGGAUUCGCUAGUAAUCGCGCAUCAGCCACGGCGCGGUGAAUACGUUCCCGGGCCUU
RNAcentral lists this ribosomal RNA (264 nucleotides) under uncultured Rikenellaceae bacterium. Its description in RNAcentral is "partial 16S ribosomal RNA". It matches the Rfam family "Bacterial small subunit ribosomal RNA", at positions 1121 to 1382 of the family's 1533-position model. The record is from RNAcentral. Lineage: Bacteria; Pseudomonadati; Bacteroidota; Bacteroidia; Bacteroidales; Rikenellaceae.